Molecule: unclassified non-coding RNA, 347 nt
Filed under: Hevea brasiliensis (rubber tree)
Lineage: Eukaryota; Viridiplantae; Streptophyta; Magnoliopsida; Malpighiales; Euphorbiaceae
Source: RNAcentral
AGAGCUAAGGAACAUCCUGAAAGCAAAAUCCAAAUUGAAAAGUAAGGAAAAAAAAUUAAUGUGAAGGCCAAACAAAAUAACUCAAAAGAAGAUAAAAAUGCUAAAGCUUUAAACUGCCAAGAAAGCAUAAGGAAGUACAAAAGAAAAUCAAAGGUACGAAAUGGUAACUAUAUUCCUCUUCUUGCCUUUUUCUUUUUAUUUUAUUUAUUCCUUUGCUAUGCAUCUCCCAAAUCCUUAUUUCCUUUAUUACUUUUUCCCUAUUGCAAACAAAAUGACUCAAACAAAGCUGAAAAUGCAGAAGCAUUAAUUUGUCAAGAAAGAAUAAAGUACAAAAGAAAAUCAAAAGU